RNAcentral lists this ribosomal RNA (256 nucleotides) under uncultured prokaryote. Its description in RNAcentral is "partial 16S ribosomal RNA". It matches the Rfam family "Bacterial small subunit ribosomal RNA", at positions 522 to 777 of the family's 1533-position model. The record is from RNAcentral.
AAGACGAACUGUGCGAACGUUGUUCGGAUUCACUGGGCUUAAAGGGCGCGUAGGCGGGCCCCAACGCCCGCGGUGAAAGCCCCCGGCUCAACCGGGGGAGUGCCGCGGGGACGGGGGGCCUCGAGCGGUGCAGGGGCACGCGGAACUUCCGGUGGAGCGGUGAAAUGCGUAGAGAUCGGAAGGAACGCCGGUGGCGAAAGCGGCGUGCUGGGCACCUCCUGACGCUGAGGCGCGAAAGCCAGGGGAGCGAACGGGA